UAUCUUGGGAAUGACUUGCCUCCUGUUAUUGCACUAUCUUCAUCAGGUUUGUUUUUAAACAGCUUUUGAAGACACACUGGUGACACAUUUGCCUGUUGUGUAAAUUGCUAUUGUGCUCCUUUUCUCGUUCCCUAUCGUUCUUUGUCCAUUAGAUACUAAGCCUGGAGGAAGGUUCCAUGGCAGAGCUACUGCCACUUUCUGGCAUUGUGCUUGUGACUAAGCCUAGCAUGUUUCCUUACUGGUGCACCAAAGAGAGAACAUCACAGUGCACACUCCAGAGAGACAAAAAGUUUCAAGAGACAAUCAGAGAUUUAGGAUACAUGGCUCCCCAGUACUUCUCUGGCAGAAUAAUUUGGCUGAAUUAGCAAUGCUGUCUUCUAGUCCUUCUGUAUGUAUCUCAUGCUAUUGGACUCUUGUAACCUAACUCCAUUCCGGCAAGAAAAUGUUUUCUGCACUGUUACAUCUUUAUGUCUCAUAAUUUGUUUUCCUUUGUGUAGGGAACAUUUGGAGUAAUUCCUAUAUUUUAAGACCUGAAAUAUGUACAGACUAUGGUUAAGUUGUGCCUUUUUGUUGGUUAAAAACAAAGGAAGGA
Molecule: long non-coding RNA, 592 nt
Organism: Rhineura floridana
Lineage: Eukaryota; Metazoa; Chordata; Lepidosauria; Squamata; Rhineuridae
Exons: 3
Source: RefSeq, a predicted model, not a curated record